UGAGAGACAUCAGAAGUUCUAAACCCAUGC
Molecule: non-coding RNA, 30 nt
Filed under: Homo sapiens (human)
Lineage: Eukaryota; Metazoa; Chordata; Mammalia; Primates; Hominidae
Source: RNAcentral